GAAAGGACUGGAGUAAUAUAGAGAAGAUAAAGGAGAUGACAGGCUACACAAGGCUCUGUGAGUUUCUGAGAUCCAACUUCUUUUAUUUCUUUGCUCAACAAAUACUUGUUAAUCAUGUUAUGAUGUAACGGUCACUGUGCAGGGUUUUAAAGAUUCGGAGAAAAAGUAGAGAAAUGUGGCCCUGCUCUCAUGAAGCUUCAGUCUAAAGAGGAGAGCAGAUAUUAAACAAAUAAUUACACAAUUAAGACUGAAUAUGUUAGCACGUGGAGAAGUAGAGCGUGAAAAAGGCAAUCCCUACAUUCAGUUUCACAACCUUUCUACGUAAUGGUGAGAGUGAGUUCCUCAUGUACAUUAUCUGAGAUUGUAAUUUUUUUUUAAAGGAAGUUACCAACCCCAUCAGUGUUUUACACUUAUGGUAACUAUAUACAUCAUCAUUCAAACCAGUUCACUGGUGUUAAUCAUUAUGCCAGAUAAUGGCACAAAACAGGACCAAAACUCACUCUUUUUAAAGGGGCAAUGAGGAGAGGACUCAAAGCAAAUAAAAUAAUGACAGAGACAACGAUACAUUUGUUCAGGAAGUAAACAGUAUUUUUCCUAUGAUGAGGUAAAUAAAUCAAGGAGGAAAGGAAAGAACUAUUUAGAGAAGUCCAGUAGAAUGUAAUUAAGACUAAUAGCAUGAACCUAAACAGAGGAAAAAUUGAGCUAAGUAAAGUACCAGCAACAAUUUUCUAACAGCUAAGACAGAUUAUAAAAAUCCUCUCAAGGGAAGGCACUUCAGCUAAUGUGAACUGAAAUAUUAAAAAUUAAAAUGGAGAACAUCCAUGAUACAUAUACUAGAAGAACUACGCCUUCACCAUUAAAAGAUAAUUGAACAAAGACAUUUUUUCUAGCUCUAAUUCUUAAUAUUCUUGAAAACUUUCAAAGUUUUCAUUUUUUUUUUCUUAAGGCAAAAAGCCCUUCUUUGUGACUGUAGUAUCUAAUCUCACUUGAGGUACUUAAAAUCCCAAGACCAAACAUUGGCACAGCUCAGAUCAUAUCCUGGUUUUAAUCUGUUCACUUAGUUUCUGUCUUAAAAACAACAACAACAACAACAACAACAAAGUCCAUGGCUGAAAGGUCCAAGAGUUCUUUCCUAAAAGUUUCAUUUACAAAAGACGCAAUUUAAAUGAACGUCUUCAUUGGGCACCACAGAGGGCCAAUCCAAGAUACCCUAUCUCCAAGUGUCUACUUUAAAAAGGCAAGGGAAACUGGCUCUGUCUGGGAUAGGAAAGUGGGCAAGGCAGAAUUCUAGUUUCUAUAAAUAUUAUAUGAUUCUUUUAAUUUGGAAAGAAUCAAAAUUCAUUUGGCCUAAAAUAUUUGGAUACGUGUCUCAAUUACUCUGUUAGUGUAAGCCCGACCUCCUCUCUGCUAGCAGAAAGAAUUGGCAGACAAAAUACAUGCUGGUGACUCAGUGUGAGGUGUUCUCUCCUCCUUGGGGGGACGAAGCGGGAGCAGAGAACACUGAAGCCAGAGGCACUGACUUAAAAUGGAGCAUCUGAUCCUUAAAGAUCCCCUGGUAUUUGUUGUCAGAGAUGUCAGCUGGAUUUCAGUUCAGAUAAUUACAUUUUGCUUGUCUAAUGCCCCUAGCAAUUUCCAGUGGGAUCUUCAUUUCCCAUCAGAAAUUGCUCUGCAUGUGAUGCUGUGCUUCAUUAAACAACUGCCGUGUGCUAGCUCACAGGUGGUGUUUGUUUCAGUGGUCACUGAAGUAAUCUCUCCGCAGGCCCAUGCCAGCCAUACUGCCCAGACUUGAAUUCUCUCCAGAGAAGUUUCUCAUCCAAGAUCCCCAGUAAAGAAAGGACUACUGAAGGAAAAAGGAAAGAAAAUAGAGCUUCUUUCAUCUUUAUUCUGGGGUUUUCUGCAAUUUUUUUAAAGAGAAAGGUAAGCUACAUAAAAAGGAGUUUGCUUGGUGAGCAAUGGUGGAGUGAGGCUCAUGAUUUGAGUAUUUCAAGAUGUCAACUAAGGGCACCUCAACCAAAUGCACCUCAUGCCCACUGACUCAACAGGUCGAGACCUUAAGGAAAUGCGGCAUUCCAUUGCAUAAUGCUUCAAUAUGAGUUAACAAGACAAAUGAGCAGAGAAACUAUGACUCUCCAUGCUGCAGAAGGAAAAUGCUCCUAGCGAACAUCUGCUUUGGGACCAAGGACAGAACCCAGAGGGCUAACAAAGAAGCACCAUGGAGUUGGUACACAGACCUCUGAGAACGGAUCCUAAAUGGCUAUCGCUGCUACCUGGCAUCUCACCAGAGAACUGGUUCUGGAAGCUCUCAAGGAAGGUUGAAGCUUUUAACUGCUACUGACCAAUACAGGAAAAACAGAAAUGUAUGGAGUCUCACUAUGUCACCCAGGCUGGAGUGCAGUGGCGUGAUCUCGGCUCACUGAAACCUCCACCGCCCAGGUUCAAGCAAUCCUCCUGUCUCAGCCUCCUGAGUAGCUGCAACUACAGGCACCUGCCACCAUGCCUGGCUAAUUUUUGUAUUUUUAGUAGAGACAGGGUUUCUCCAUGUUGGCCAGGCUGGUCUCAAACUCCUGACCUCAGGUGAUCCACCCACCUCGGCCUCCUAAAGUGCUGGGAUUUCAGGCGUGAGCCACUGCCUUCAGCUGGAAAUAGCAUUUACUUUAGAGUGUGAUUGUAAAGAUUAGUGUGAUAAUAUGUACAGAACAUCUUAUAUUCAUGGAGGGCACACAUUUGUUCAAUGAAUUGUACUGAUGAGAUCACAAAUCACAUUUCCUCACCCUUCAACCACUGCGCAUCCAAUAUCAUUUCCAAGUAGGUAUGAUUUCUGAAUCAUAAUAGAAACUAACACUUCUUGGGUAUUUCUGUUUUGUGCCUAGCACCACUAUAAGUGUUUUACCUAUAUUAACUCAAUUAAUUCUCCCAAGAAUUUAUGAAGUAAAUGCUUUUAUUUUUCCAAUUUUACCGAAGAGGAAAUUAAGGCAGAGAAAGUUAAAAGAAAAAAAAAAACCUUAUAUUACGUAGCUAGAAAGUGUCAGAGCUAGGGUUUGAACCCAAGCAAUCUGGCUCCAGAGUCUUAGCCACUGGUACAGUGAUUCUUUAAUAGGACUACUAAUAACUAUAUUCUUAUUGCUAACUAUUCUAUAAGACUUCUGGGUAUUUACAGGACUGUCUUGUGUAAUUAUUAAUAGGGCACUUUACCCAAUUCAGCCAAAAUUCCUAAGGAGAAUCAUUGACUUAGAAAAACCACAUCUGAUUGAAUUGAGCACGCCAAGAAUGAGGAGAGAUGGUGUCUCCUUUCACAAGGGUAUCUGGACAGAGCUUAAAGUGUCAAUCUAAUUAUAAACUGUUAUUCUCCUAUUAUGGAAAAACCCUGUAAUUGGAUACUAGAAAAUUCUCUGUAAAACCUUGUCCCUCAGGCAAGGCUUAAUACUGGUCUCAGAAGCCCAGUUAAGUAUGUUUUAAAAAAUUGGUUAUCCUUAAAAAUACUGAAGGGAAAUACUUCCCAUUAAUGCAGUUGUCAUUGGAUGGUAACAUAAUAGGUAAUAUAUAUUUUUUUCUUUUUUAAAAGUCUUUUAUUCAAAAUUUUUCUUAAGAGGAAGAAUUGUUAUAAAAACAAUGUAUUUCUUAAGUAUAAGAAAACAUUUCUACAAAAAGUAGAAAUUUUAGAUAAGUAAAAAUAAAAUGAAUUAUACAUAAUUAAUUACACCAUUGCAUGUUAAAAAUCUGCUAUAUUUUCCAAAUUGUUCUAAUGUAAGGAUAUUCAUAAAUUGUGUGAGUCUGUAUAAAAGAUGGAAUCAUAUUCUUCAUGUUGCUUUCUAUUCUGUUGUGCUUUUCACUUACAAGAAUACUGUGAAUAUACUUCACUAUGAAUAAAUGCACAUGUAUGUC
Molecule: long non-coding RNA, 3882 nt
Filed under: Homo sapiens (human)
Lineage: Eukaryota; Metazoa; Chordata; Mammalia; Primates; Hominidae
Description: HSALNT0323276
Source: RNAcentral